GCAGGGUGCGUAACGCGUGGGAAUCUGNCCUUGGGAUUCGGAAUAACCAGGAGAAAUACAGGCUAAUACCGGAUGAUGACGUAAGUCCAAAGAUUUAUCGCCCAGGGAUGAGCCCGCGUAGGAUUAGCUAGUUGGUGUGGUAAAGGCGCACCAAGGCGACGAUCCUUAGCUGGUCUGAGAGGAUGAUCAGCCACACUGGGACUGAGACACGGCCCAGACUCCUACGGGAGGCAGCAGUGGGGAAUAUUGGACAAUGGGCGAAAGCCUGAUCCAGCAAUGCCGCGUGAGUGAUGAAGGCCUUAGGGUUGUAAAGCUCUUUUACCCGGGAUGAUAAUGACAGUACCGGGAGAAUAAGCUCCGGCUAACUCCGUGCCAGCAGCCGCGGUAAU
This 389-nucleotide ribosomal RNA is filed under the name uncultured bacterium. Its description in RNAcentral is "bacterial SSU rRNA". It matches the Rfam family "Bacterial small subunit ribosomal RNA", at positions 100 to 524 of the family's 1533-position model. The record is from RNAcentral.